UGGCAGGGCGCUUGGCUGCCUCCUGCUCUGCUGCCUCGCAGGCUGCAGCUCCCUGCUGGUCUUGGUGCAGGGACGUGGGUCCUGUGCCCUGGGCUGUGGUGCCAUCUCUGGGUCUCUGCUGCUCUCCAGGCCUCCCGGGAAACGCUGCUCUGUUCCGCCCGAUUCCUGAAGAGGAAGGAUCUCCAGCAGAUGCUGCGGGUGGAUCAGACGUGGAGGUUCGGCGAGGGCCUGCUGGCACAGGACAGGAACCGAGCGGCCGAGGACCUGCAGCGGGCCCUGCUCUACCUGGGCAGCCCACAGGAGUCCCUGCGAGCGGCGGCCAUCAGGUUCAUUGGGAUGGCCGGGCAGCACCUCCGGGGGAACAAACGAGAGCUCCAGAGCAUCUGUCAGGCCCUUGAUGACAAGGCACAGGACAUCAGCCCUGUCAUCAGAAGGCUGGCUCUGGAAACAGCCUUUGUCCUCCGGGCAGCUCCAGGCUCCAUCUUGCACAAGUGGCAAGAUCGAUUCUGCAGGGCACGCAAGAACCGCCCUUGUCUGCGGGCCCGUGGCUGGUUGUGCUGCUGGAGCUCUGAGGAGAGCUGAUUUGAGAGGCUCUCUGUCUGCCGGGGCCAUCUGAGCCUGGCAGCAUUUUUCUUUAGGAUGUUUUUUUUCCUUUUUCUUUCGUUCUUCUUUAUUGUAGAGAUAUAGAAAUAGAAAUAUAUAGAAUAUAGAUAUAGAAUUAUAUAUAGAAAUAUAGAAU
This 739-nucleotide long non-coding RNA is filed under the name Parus major (Great Tit). RNAcentral describes it as "lncRNA (ENSPMJG00000002579.1)". Lineage: Eukaryota; Metazoa; Chordata; Aves; Passeriformes; Paridae. The record is from RNAcentral.